AACGAACGCUGGCGGCAUGCCUAACACAUGCAAGUCGAACGAGACCUUCGGGUCUAGUGGCGCACGGGUGCGUAACGCGUGGGAACCUGCCCUUAGGUUCGGAAUAACUCCCCGAAAGGGGUGCUAAUACCGGAUAAUGUCUUCGGACCAAAGCUUUAUCGCCUUUGGAUGGGCCCGCGUUGGAUUAGUUAGUUGUUAGGGUAAAAGCCUACCAAGGCGACGAUCCAUAGCUGGUCUGAGAGGAUGAUCAGCCACACUGGGACUGAGACACGGCCCAGACUCCUACGGGAGGCAGCGGUGGGGAAUAUUGGACAAUGGGCGAGAGCCUGAGCCAGCAAGGCCGCGUGGGUGAUGAAGGCCUUAGGGUUGUAAAGCUCUUUUACCCGGGAUGAUAAUGACAGUACCGGGAGAAUAAGCUCCGGCUAACUCCGUG
This 433-nucleotide ribosomal RNA is filed under the name uncultured bacterium. RNAcentral's name for it is "partial 16S ribosomal RNA". It matches the Rfam family "Bacterial small subunit ribosomal RNA", at positions 29 to 507 of the family's 1533-position model. The record is from RNAcentral.